UGGGGAAUAUUGCACAAUGGGCGCAAGCCUGAUGCAGCCAUGCCGCGUGUAUGAAGAAGGCCUUCGGGUUGUAAAGUACUUUCAGCGAGGAGGAAGGCGUUGUGGUUAAUAACCGCAACGAUUGACGUUACUCGCAGAAGAAGCACCGGCUAACUCCGUGCCAGCAGCCGCGGUAAUACGGAGGGUGCAAGCGUUAAUCGGAAUUACUGGGCGUAAAGCGCACGCAGGCGGUCUGGCAAGUCGGAUGUGAAAUCCCCGGGCUCAACCUGGGAACUGCAUCCGAAACUGGCAGGCUAGAGUCUUGUAGAGGGGGGUAGAAUUCCAGGUGUAGCGGUGAAAUGCGUAGAGAUCUGGAGGAAUACCGGUGGCGAAGGCGGCCCCCUGGACAAAGACUGACGCUCAGGUGCGAAAGCGUGGGGAGCAAACA
Molecule: ribosomal RNA, 427 nt
Filed under: uncultured bacterium
Lineage: Bacteria
Description: partial 16S ribosomal RNA
Rfam family: Bacterial small subunit ribosomal RNA
Source: RNAcentral